AUGCCGCUCAGCGCCCACCUGCCUCCACCGCCGCGGUUUGACGCUGUUUCUCAGCCCUUGCUCUCUUCUCCAGCCACCGGCACCCCACAAGUGGCACGGGUGCAGAGCCCCCCCGUGCAGGCACCACGGCACAGGGCUUGCAGGAAACGCUCUGCUCCUGGCAGACCGCAGCACCUCCCCGCGAGCCAUCCGAGACCCGCAUCCCUCCCCGCUCCCGAGGCCCCUUCGACACCAAGCCGAGCGGCAGCAGGUUCAGUCUCUGAUGGAAGAGGAGCACCCGAGGCCGUUUACACGAGCAUGGAUAUUGCACACACAGUUUCUCAUCCCGGAGCCUGCAGAGACUUUCUGAAGCACAACAAGAGGCAGCCCUUGCCCAGCCAGGGCUUUGCUUCCCCGCUGCCAAAACCAACAGCAAAGCGUACAAAACAAACCCGCCGGGUGCCGGGGAGGAACUUGCCUGGUGGCUUCCAAAGCGGGAGCACGUCACCAUCCGCCUCCGGGAGAGCAGCCUGCCACACCAGCACCCUGCAGCCUUGGAGGCAGCUGCAGCCAGCCCCUAUUUCAAGGCUGCUGCCCCGGCCCGUUCCCCGCAGCUGCGGGCGCUGCCGGCCGGCUCAGCCGCUGCCCGGGCGGGCGGCAGGGCUCCGCGCACCUGGGGCCCCUCGCCCCGCUCGCCGCCCGACGGCACCUGCGGGCCAGCGCGCCCCCGCGCUGCGGAGGGGCUCCGCGCUAAUCAGCACGCGCACAGCCACUCGUUACCGUUAUUACUCUGACGUUAUUAAUUUCCCCACUUCCCAUCCGCAGGAGCUGUUCAGCGACUGUUUCGGUCGUUUCAUUUCAAUCUGCUUUAGUAGCGGGAGAUGGAAAUUAAAGGCAGGCGUUUAUCCCGGGGUCACGCAGCCCCUUCCCUCCCUCCCGCAGCCUCCCUCCGCUCCAGCACGCCGAGCCACCUCCGUCCCCAGGCGUGCCCAGCCUGCGCUUGCUCCCGGCCUUCCCGGGGCGGCCGCGGGUCCGGCCACCCCGCGGGGGUCUGCCAGCCCGGAGAGCAGAGCUGAGGGUGACCUGCCCUGCAGGGAGCUCGUUGCACCCGUGCUGUUUGCGGCGCGCUUCGGCGCUGCCUCGUGCCCACGGGCAUCCCGCGGGAGGUGCCGGCGGCAGGCCCCGGCAGCGCCGUCCCCUGCGCAGCGCCCGAGCCCGGAUGGGAUUUGGUAG
This 1212-nucleotide long non-coding RNA is filed under the name Apteryx haastii (Great spotted kiwi). RNAcentral's name for it is "lncRNA (ENSAHAG00000003106.1)". Lineage: Eukaryota; Metazoa; Chordata; Aves; Apterygiformes; Apterygidae. The record is from RNAcentral.